UUGAAUGAAACUUCUGGCUGGAUGCUGUUGUGCUGGCCCCUUGUGGCAAUGUGCACACCUCUGGUCAUUUGUUUCUUCUGUUCCACCUGUGCACUGACUGUAGACACGCUGUGUCUAUGAUAUUGGUUACACACACAAUGUUAUGCAUGUUGGCUGGCAUAUAUAAUAUUUAUAUAUA
RNAcentral lists this unclassified non-coding RNA (178 nucleotides) under uncultured Amanita. RNAcentral describes it as "sequence contains ITS1". Lineage: Eukaryota; Fungi; Basidiomycota; Agaricomycetes; Agaricales; Amanitaceae. The record is from RNAcentral.